Molecule: non-coding RNA, 363 nt
Organism: Pelobates cultripes (western spadefoot toad)
Lineage: Eukaryota; Metazoa; Chordata; Amphibia; Anura; Pelobatidae
Source: the annotation of a GenBank genome assembly
CAGGAAAGUGUCUGCUGAAGAAACUCCCAUAUUCACCAUGUAAGAUCCUACCCACAGACAUCAAGCUCCCGAAGGAAUAACAAGCAAGCUACUGACCCUGGAAAGAAAGAAAAAAACAAACAAACCACAAGCUGGAAACAGAAAGGGGCAACUCUUAAAGACAGGCUGUACUUCAACAAUCUCAAGUUAUACUUGCCCAAGAACAUAUACUCAGCAGUGGUCCAGUGGGCCUACGGAGCAUCUGUCCAGAACCCUCAUGAACUCUUUUGAUCAAUAAAUACUCUGAAGUACCAGGAAUUGCCUCUCUGACCAACAGUUACUGUAAAUCUUGUGCCAUUUGUGCCAAGGGCAACUCAAGAAGAA